AACGAACGCUGGCGGCGUGCUUAACACAUGCAAGUCGAACGCGAAAGGGGCUUCGGUCCUGAGUAGAGUGGCGCACGGGUGAGUAACGCGUAGAUAACCUGUCCUGGUGUCUGGAAUAAUAUCUCGAAAGGGGUGCUAAUACCGGAUAUUCUUGCUUUCUAUAAGGUAUGCAAGGAAAGGUGGCCUCUGGAACAAGCUACUGCACGAGGAGGGGUCUGCGUACCAUUAGCUAGUAGGUGGGGUAAUGGCCUACCUAGGCGACGAUGGUUAGCGGGUCUGAGAGGAUGAUCCGCCACACUGGUACUGGACCACGGACCAGACUCCUACGGGAGGCAGCAGUGAGGAAUAUUGCGCAAUGGGGGCAACCCUGACGCAGCGACGCCGCGUGAGUGAGGAAGGCCUUCGGGUCGUAAAGCUCUGUCAAAGGGGAAGAAGUGCAUGGUGGUUAAUAUCUGUCAUGUUUGACGGUACCCUUAAAGGAAGCACCGGCUAACUCCGUGCCAGCAGCCGCGGUAA
This 516-nucleotide ribosomal RNA is filed under the name uncultured bacterium. Its description in RNAcentral is "partial 16S ribosomal RNA". It matches the Rfam family "Bacterial small subunit ribosomal RNA", at positions 29 to 523 of the family's 1533-position model. The record is from RNAcentral.